GGAAGGAAUAUUGCACAAUGGGGGAAACCCUGAUGCAGCGACGCCGCGUGAGUGACGAAGGCCUUCGGGUCGUAAAACUCUUUUAUGUGGGAUGAGCAAGGACAGUACCACAAGAAUAAGUCUCGGCUAACUACGUGCCAGCAGCCGCGGUAAAACGUAGGAGGCGAGCGUUAUCCGGAAUUACUGGGCGUAAAGGGCAAGUAGGCGGUAGGCCAAGUUGGGCGUGACAAAUCCCGGCUUAACUGGGAGGGGUCGUCCAAAACUGGCAUACUCGAGGGCAGGAGAGGUAAGUGGAAUUCCUAGUGUAGCGGUGGAAUGCUCAGAUAUUAGGAAGAACACCAGUGGCGAAGGCGACUUACUGGCCUGUACCUGACGCUGAGAGGCGAAAGCUAGGGGAGCGAACGGGCUUAGAUACCCCUGUAGUCC
This 426-nucleotide ribosomal RNA is filed under the name uncultured bacterium. RNAcentral's name for it is "bacterial SSU rRNA". It matches the Rfam family "Bacterial small subunit ribosomal RNA", at positions 354 to 796 of the family's 1533-position model. The record is from RNAcentral.